Molecule: microRNA precursor, 115 nt
Filed under: Linum usitatissimum (flax)
Lineage: Eukaryota; Viridiplantae; Streptophyta; Magnoliopsida; Malpighiales; Linaceae
Description: miR166i stem-loop (lus-MIR166i)
Gene: lus-MIR166i
Rfam family: mir-166 microRNA precursor family
About the family: This family represents the plant microRNA (miRNA) precursor mir-166. Animal miRNAs are transcribed as ~70nt precursors and subsequently processed by the Dicer enzyme to give a ~22nt product. In plants the precursor sequences may be longer, and the carpel factory (caf) enzyme appears to be involved in processing.
Source: miRBase by way of RNAcentral
UUGAGGGGAAUGUUGUCUGGCUCGAGGCCACUAUAGUAUUCAGAUCUCUUCUCUUCUUCUUGGCCGGGUUCUUUUAUCCGAUUAGUGACGUCGGACCAGGCUUCAUUCCCCCCAA